CUUGCUCUGUUUAUAUUCAAUAAAAAUUUGUUCUUAUCAGUUUAAUAUCUGAUAAUGUCCCCUCUACCCGAGGACCAUAUAUUAAUCUGAUUUUUGGAACAGGGAGACGGAAGAGGGGUUGCUCAGAUCGCUCCCAUGCUCGAAUCUCGUAUUGCAGCGACUCGAAACGGGGUGCACAUCCC
Small nuclear RNA from Alosa alosa (allis shad), 182 nucleotides. RefSeq annotates it as U2 spliceosomal RNA. The transcript has a single exon. Lineage: Eukaryota; Metazoa; Chordata; Actinopteri; Clupeiformes; Clupeidae. The record is from RefSeq and is a predicted model, not a curated record.